AUGUAUACUGAAUGACCUAAAAACAAGAAUUGCCUUUUUUUUUUAGGUGGUGCUGAUUUGUGCAGCCACAUAUAAUUUGAUGUUGGGAAUUGGCAUGAUCUGCUUCUCUAUUUUCAGACUUUCCCUGAUAAGUGGAAACCCCUUUUGGGCAGCAGUAGCUGUAAGUACCACUUCAGUUUUAGUCAACUGGUUUAAUGUUUCAAUGUUAUAAUUUUUGUUAUUAUUAUUACAUGUAUGUAAUUAUUUUGUAGUAUAUCAUUACAGGAAGUAUAACCCUUGCAGCUUACUCUAAGCCAUCCAUUUGUCAGGUGAGAGGUUCUCUUGCUAUGAACGUUGUAAGUGCUGUCAUGAGUGGUGUUGGCAUUAUUUUUGCCUGCCUGGAUCUAGUAGCGUUGUCAUCUCUGAGGUGUAGAGACCAAAGCUCAUACUACUGCACAAAUAAUACUGGUGGCAUUGUUGUGCAUGCUCUGAUUCUGGUCAACAACCUGCUAAUCCUCUGUGUGUCCAUAUUUAUUGGUGUUUUUGGAUGCCUCUCCCUAGGCCAUGAUCCAAGUGUUCAACAGGUA
Long non-coding RNA from Rana temporaria (common frog), 566 nucleotides. RefSeq lists it as uncharacterized. The transcript is spliced from 3 exons. Lineage: Eukaryota; Metazoa; Chordata; Amphibia; Anura; Ranidae. The record is from RefSeq and is a predicted model, not a curated record.